RNAcentral lists this ribosomal RNA (460 nucleotides) under uncultured bacterium. Its description in RNAcentral is "partial 16S ribosomal RNA". It matches the Rfam family "Bacterial small subunit ribosomal RNA", at positions 338 to 795 of the family's 1533-position model. The record is from RNAcentral.
CCUACGGGUGGCAGCAGUGAGGAAUAUUGGUCAAUGGGCGCGAGCCUGAACCAGCCAAGUAGCGUGAAGGAUGAAUGCCCUACGGGUUGUAAACUUCUUUUAUAAAGGAAUAAAGUGAGGCACGUGUGCCUUUAUGUAUGUACUUUAUGCAUAAGGAUCGGCUAACUCCGUGCCAGCAGCCGCGGUAAUACGGAGGGUCCGAGCGUUAUCCGGAUUGAUUGGGUGUAAAGGGAGCGUAGAUGGGUUGUUAAGUCAGUUGUGAAAGUCUGCGGCUCAACCGUAAAAUUGCAAUUGAUACUGGCAGUCUUGAGUACAGUAGAGGUAGGCGGAAUUCGUGGUGUAGCGGUGAAAUGCUUAGAUAUCACGAAGAACUCCGAUUGCGAAGGCAGCUUACUAGACUGCCACUGACGUUGAUGCUCGAAAGUGUGGGUAUCAAACAGGAUUAGAUACCCUUGUAGUC